RNAcentral lists this ribosomal RNA (562 nucleotides) under Afrixalus wittei. Its description in RNAcentral is "partial 16S ribosomal RNA". It matches the Rfam family "Bacterial large subunit ribosomal RNA", at positions 1830 to 2601 of the family's 2925-position model. Lineage: Eukaryota; Metazoa; Chordata; Amphibia; Anura; Hyperoliidae. The record is from RNAcentral.
GCCUCUUGUUUAGAUAUUAGAGGUCCCGCCUGCCCUGUGAUUUUAUUUAAUUUAACGGCCGCGGUAUUUUAACCGUGCAAAGGUAGCACAAUAAAUUGUUCUCUAAAUAAGGACUAGUAUGAACGGCACCACGAGGGCUCAACUGUCUCCCCCCUCCAAUCAAUGAAACUGAUCUUCUCGUGAAGAAGCGAGAAUACACAUAUAAGACGAGAAGACCCCAUGGAGCUUUAAACAUCAACAAUUAUAUAAUUUAAACCACAAUAUUAAAUAAAAAUGUUCUCUGAUAGUUUUCGGCUGGGGUGACCCUGGAGCAAAAUAAAUCCUCCAGGAUGAACGGAAUAAUUAACCCUAAUAUUAGAGCCACAGCUCAAAUAAUCAAUAAACUGACACUACUGACCCAACUUAUUGAUCAACGAAACAAGUUACCCUGGGGAUAACAGCGCAAUCCAUUUAAAGAGCUCAUAUCGACAAAUGGGUUUACGACCUCGAUGUUGGAUCGGGGUAUCCAAGUGGCGCAGCCGUUACUAAAGGUUCGUUUGUUCAACGAUUAAUAACCCCACGU